Bison bison bison is the source of this 108-nucleotide ribosomal RNA. Lineage: Eukaryota; Metazoa; Chordata; Mammalia; Artiodactyla; Bovidae. The record is from Ensembl.
GUCUAAGGCCGUACCACCCUGAACACGCCUGAUCUCGUCUGAUCUCGGAAGCUAAGCAGGAUCCGGCCUGGUUAGUACUUGGGUGGGCAAGAGAGAGGAGGGAAGACG